Molecule: long non-coding RNA, 1690 nt
Filed under: Durio zibethinus
Lineage: Eukaryota; Viridiplantae; Streptophyta; Magnoliopsida; Malvales; Malvaceae
Description: long non-coding RNA (DZIB_LNC001864)
Source: RNAcentral
UCCAGAAUUUUACUUCUUAAAAAUUUUUAAAAAAUUUGCGGACUUAUUUUAUUAAAUCAUAAUUGGAUUUUUAACAUGUUUUCUAUAUAUAAAUAUUUAUAUUUUUAUCGCCAAACAAUUAAACACUUCUUCUAACACAUGUAAUAAAACAACAAAUAAAUGAAAUAAUAAAUAAACUAAAUAAAAAAGGAAAUAAAAAUACAAAAAACUGGUUUGAAACCCAAUUGAAAAGGAGUUUAGGCCUGGCGUCGGGCUUCAAUUGGUUUCCGUGUAGGCCAGAAUAAGACUUAAUCCGAAACAGAAAAUAAAGUAAAAAAACGGAUCGGGUUGUUACUGAGUCCAGUUUUCAUGUGGAUCUUUCAUUGGAUACGCACCUUUUAAAACGGUGUCGUAGUACUUUGGAAAUCGGCAUCUUUCCUUCAUUUGGUUCUUUUUCUUUCUCUCACUAAAGUCCCAACUUCUCUACUGUCGGAAAACUCGUGCUUUUACAAAAACAGACAGCUUUCCGCCUUUGCCGUAGCAACCAAAACCUUUGAGCUGCAGCCCACCGGCGUCACAACGUCAUGGAAAUGAACGAUAAUCUUGUCCUCAACCUCCUAAACACUUCUCCAGGACCAGAUUUCUCUAAAAGACUUUGCAUUUUCCUAGAUCUACAGCCUAAAACCAAAACUGCCUCAGCACAAACCGUCGCCAUUUACCACAAAAAAAAAAAAAAAACGCCUUUAUUUCCUUCAUAUUCUUUUUUUUCAACCGACCCUCAACUUAGAAACCCGAAAAAAUCCUAAGCUACCAACUCCACAAAGCCAAAAAAAUCACUUUUUUUUUUGUUGAUGUAUUUUUUCUGUCACUGGAUUGUUGAUUGUUGCUGAUGACUACUUUCUCUUGUGUUGCCUUUUGUGGUUGAAUUCUGUGUUCUUGUGUCUCUAGGCUUGGGUUUGCUAGAAAUUGGAUUUGUGUAUGCUCUGAUUUUUUAAUGUAUUUUUCUUUAUUUGCUGCUUGUUUCUGGGUUUAUUGCCUUUUCGGCUAUUCUUCUGUUUUUGCUGUGAGGCUGUUGAUUGCUUUUGAUUAUUUUUGCUUCUGCCAAUUGCCUGAUGAUUCCCUUGGAUUGUCGAUUGAGAUUGUUUAUAUAGAGGGCUUUCCUUGCAAAAUAAUUUAGAAUCAAAUUAAAGAUUUAAGGAAUCGAAUCAGCUAAGUUAGAUCCUAUUCUUACCCCUUUUUGGGAUUUUCUUGAUCCUCAAUUUUUUUGCUUUUCAAACCUUCCAAAAAUUUCCAAAUUUAAUUUAACUUGAUUUUUCUCUGUUUUUCCUUUUUUUUUUCUUUUUUCUUUUUAUUUUUUCAAAGUACCAAUAAAAAAAAUUAAAAUGAAAGGCAAAGAAAAUUAAGAAGUUUGGUCUUCAUUUACUUGGGCUCAAUGCCCAAACAUAAAUUAAAAAAACCAAAGUAAAACCCAAUUAAGAAUUAAAUGGUGUGAAGAUGAAUUUCUAAACCAAAAAGUAAUCCAUUUCGAAAGUAAGCCACAAGGUUCAAUAACAAAUCAAAAAUUUAGGGCUGGCAAUAGAUACCCUAUAAGUGGGUACCUGGAAGUACUCGACCCGAUAUUAAGUAGGAUUUGAUUUAAAAAUAAGUUGUUAUUAAUAUAAUAUUUAAUUAAAUUAAUGCAUUAAAUAUUUAAUUAUAAUUUUUAACUUUG